GACGAACGCUGGCGGCGUGCUUAACACAUGCAAGUCGAACGGAAAGGCCCUGCUUUUGUGGGGUGCUCGAGUGGCGAACGGGGGAGUAACACGUGAGUAACCUGCCCUUGACUUUGGGAUAACUUCAGGAAACUGGGGCGAAUACCGGAGAGGAGCUCCUGCUGCAUGGGGGGGGUUGGAAAGUUUCGGCGGUUGGGGAUGGACUCGCGGCUUAUCAGCUUGUUGGUGGGGUAGUGGCUUACCAAGGCUUUGACGGGUAGCCGGCCUGGGAGGGUGACCGGCCACCUUGGGCCUGCGGUACGGCCCAGACUCCUACGGGACGCAGCAGUGGGGAAUCUUGCACAGUGGGCGGAAGCCUGAUGCAGCAACGCCGCGUGCGGGAUGCCGGCCUUCGGGUUGUAAACCGCUUUCGCCUGUGCCGAAGCGUGAGUGACGGUAAUGGGUAAAGAAGCACCGGCUAACUACGUG
RNAcentral lists this ribosomal RNA (468 nucleotides) under uncultured bacterium. Its description in RNAcentral is "partial 16S ribosomal RNA". It matches the Rfam family "Bacterial small subunit ribosomal RNA", at positions 28 to 507 of the family's 1533-position model. The record is from RNAcentral.